UGAAGCGGUUAAAAUGGAACUACACUUUCGACGAGGGAAUUAUGAAAAUCAAAGUGUUGGGAUAGAAAUGGUUCUUUUGUCUAGUUAAGUUAUCUUGCUGAGUAUGCUACAAAAUGAAGAAUAAUGAAGUAAUGACGAACACGCUUAAUAAAACACCUAUUUCAAGAAUACAACAGUCAUCGAGAAGAUCAAGGCAGGCCUUCAAAUCUCCGGUUCAAAAUGUGGUGUCUGAUGGCAGUCUGAUGGUUGAUGAGAAACAAAGUGUGCUUGUUGAGAUCAAGACAUUGGAAGAAAGAGAGAAGAAUGUCACUGCACAGAUCAACCAGCUUUGUGAGGAAGGUCUAAAGGAAGAAGAGCUGGUCAUCCACAUUGAGAAGCUGCAUGAAUACAACGAAAUCAAGGACAUUGGCCUAGUUUUGAUUGGCAGAAUAGCUCUCCAACAAGGUGUUACCACGAAGCAGCUGUAUGGAAGGUUUCAUCUCAAUCUUGAUGACUGAUGCCCAUAUCAAUGAUGCCCCAAGCCAAGUUCUCCAAUGCAACCGACCAUGAAUGAUGUCUAUCGCGAGGUGAAGGAAGGUCCAUUCCGCGGACUCCGUAUGGAAGGCGUGUGCCAAGCAGCCGACCGACGACGUGGCGGAGUCCAAAGCACGGUACGCUUUGUGUCUCUUGUCGGGCGCCCCUAGGGGACCCUGUCGUUCGGUUCCACGACUGAGGGGGGGUUCAGCAUGAGGGCGUGUCGUCUUCGUUCAUUUUGCCAUUUCAACGCGAAAAAGAGAGGUUUUUAUAUUAAAUAGGCCUUCCCUCUCUUACGCUGUUGAAGGGCUUAAGAAAGUUGACGACAUGGUGCGGGAUGGAGUCCGGGACGGGCUCCGGACUCGCCUUUGCCGUUAAUCAGACGGCUCGCACUUAACUUGAUGGGUUAACCCUCUAUGCUCUCCGGCGGCAGUCGUAGAAGAUCAGGCACUGAAGUAGAUGAUAUCACAACAAACAGCAUCGACGGAAAGACCACCUCCGAAUGGAAGGAAGAGGGUCGGUGCGAUGGGGCAUGCUUGAGGAGGGCUGAAGAUGCACGAUCGUGGCGUGACAUACGUCUGGGGAUGGAUUCGGACGCGAGCAAGAUGUGUGCCGCAUUUAGGGUAACUUCAUUUCAUUAUUUUUGAACCCAAUUUUAAAAAUUAUGAGCGAUUUAAAUCGUUAAGAUUCUUUUCAGGAAGAGCAUCCGGGAGACCAGUGCGAAGCAAGAUCCAUCUUGCAGAGCCAAGAACACCGCAGAGAGCCCAGCGUGACGCAGACCCCACUAUACAGAGGUUUGAACAUGAUCCCAGUUUGAACACGACAAGGACUUGGACAACAGCCGUGCCUGGCCACCUGACACGAUCCUGCCAAGGGAAGCGGUUGUGCCGUUAUCUUUUGAUCGAUUCCAAACGGCCAGACAGCCGAUGGAGAAUGCUGCAGUGUUACUUCAGGUAAGCAGCCAGACAGCCGAUGGAGAAUGCUGCAGUGUUACUUCAGGUAAGCGGCCAGACAGCCGAUGGAGAAUGCUGCAGUGUUACUUCAGUAUUCCCAAAAGAUGGGUAACACCAGAAAAAGGGAACCACUCGGCUCGAACUGCUGGAAAUGACACAGAAGUGAAAGUCCUCGUCUGGAGCCGGCAUCACCACAUCCAGGUCACAGGAUAUUCAUCACCACGACCAGGGCGUCGCUCCAACUGCUGGAAAUGACGCUCUCAAGGAUGUGCAUUGUAAGUGGAGGUUGCAGAGAGUUUGCACCACCACACCCAGUCCUGGAUGGAAACAGAAUUUAUGAUCUAAUCAAAUGGAAGACCGCAAUUGUCCUGAGAUGACGAGGUUAAGUAGAAUUGUCCACAGACGUGCACGGAUAAUGAAAGUCUUGUACAUCCAGGGGACGGAAGAGGUAUCCCGGGGCUCAGUACGCAUACCAAUCCUGGAACAGACUCUCUCGAUAACACACGUGUUUAUAUGCACAGACGUUUUCAUCGCGUAUCGUAUUCUUAAACGCAAACACAAUUCUUAGUUCAGAUUGAAUCGCAAACGAAAGAUUCGCGAAAGCCACGGACCAUCGCUAGACUAUUUUAUUUUCUUCGCUCAGAUCGAACUGUUGAAAAUGUGGAUUAUAUUUAUGUACUUCAUUUGAACCACAAACGAAGGAUUUGGACAAGAUGCGUACCUCUAACCCCUUCAUUUGACGAGACGUGAUACCAAUCUCACAAGCACUGGAUGACGGCAUGCUUCAGGAAUCUCUUUACGACUGAUGCCAUGUGACGACGGGGGCACAUCUUGAGGCAAGAUGACACAAUGGAUGUGGAACCCUCGGCCCCUGAAUGAUUGUCGCUAUGGGAGUCAUUAGCAACAGACUUUCUCUGGUGUAGUAUUGUAUAUUCGCUACCUGUAGGCCUCUGCAGAAGGAUACGUUGUAUUUUAUCGAAAUAUCUGAUUGAAAGGUGGUUUCAUUGCAAAUCUCAAUAUCAUCCGAUGGUAAAAAGCCUACUUCCAUUUUGUGGCUGUGACAAAAUGUCUGAACACAUUUGGAAGGUCUUUAAAAGACUUUCCAUCAGUCAUCGUCGGUCACUCCUCCUAGAUGAUUGUUGAUUAAGAACCAGAACCAGAUCCAAAUAAGUCGAGGUUCUGAUGUACCAGGUCUAAAUUUACUAUCGAGCUGUUAACAUUUACUUCAUUUUUCUCCGAAAUCACCAUAUCGAGCUGUUAAAAUUUACUUCAUUUUUCUCCGAAAUCACCAAAUUAUCAGAUAUUUCAAUUUUCCCAUCGAAUGAGACAUGGGGUCCACGUGAUUCUGGUUGGUUCGACCCCAGCCAACCAGAACAUGUGUUGUCUUUGAUGGAACCGUAGGCCUUAUGAACUUUCUCGAUCCAUUCAGUACCACGAAUACCUGCGUUUAUUCCAUUCGGCUUCCGAGACCUGAUAGUGCCGGUCUCCAUUUGGGACAGAUAUGAAAUAGGCAAACUCAAACUCUAGCCUCCAUUUUAUACAAGUAUCUUAAAUUUCCUUAAACACGGUAAUUAUCCGGGUGCCUUUCAUUCUUGGUUUCAUCAAUGAUAUGAUAACAAAGGUUAUCCCCAAGACCAAAACAAAUGCAAAAGAAUCGGGCAAAUUCAUUUCCAAAUUUUGAGAUUUCGUUGAAAUAUUUUGUUGAUUGAAAUUUUUCCAAAACAUUCCAAAUUGAUGUGGUUCCUGACCUUGCGGUCAAGUGGAAGAGGAGCUCAGUCUUUUCAUGAUAAUUAGUCCAGAAAGAUUCAUCUUGUUUCUUCCUGUGAGGUAUAAAGAUAACAACUGCCCCAUCAAGAAGUUUCCUGUGGUACAGAAUGGGUCAAGCAAGCUGUCGCCAACGUCAAUGUCUGACGUUUUAUGUAUUAAUUUGUUAUGUUUGUUUGUAUAAUGAUACAAUAUGUGAAAUUUACAUAUAAAAGCCAUAAUACAUGUAAAGGUGAAUUCAAAAAGUUACUUCUAUUGUUAAACUCGUCCAAAGCAACCGCUUUUGUCAUGAUGAGAAGACUGAUCUGAACGCCUGAUCUAGAGGGGCCCCUUUUGUCAUGCAAAUGAGAUCACAGCACGGUCCUGUUGAUCAUGACGAAAUUGGUUCUUUUGUUAUUUAAAUAACCCACUCACCGAUGUCGUGCUGUUUCGUAUCAAUGAGGUCAAGGUUUGUGACCUGAAUACACCACAGCAGUUCACCUUGCUUGCAUUUACAAUGGUUGUCGCUGCAUGCGACUCAAUUUAUGUUUUUCCUGAUCAAAAACUAUGUAGAUAUUCAGUGGAAAACGGUUUCCCAAACAAAAUGAACAUAAACAUAAGGGGCCAAAUUUACAAAGGGUGUUUAGCUUAAAACAGCGUUUAAUGUCUGAAUAGACAGAGUCAGGGCCUUGGAGGGUUUCUUCAUGAAAACCGCAUUAGGCCCUGAAACUGAUUAUGUAGAAUUUACACGCGUCUAACUCUUAAACACCCUUCGUAAAUUCGGCCCUAGAUGUUUUCAACCGGACUGUGCAAGACGGCAUGUAUAACAAUGUGUCCCAAAAGUGUUACAUGUAUCAAUGGCUCUUUGCUUUAUUUUAGAAAUUUUGAAUUUCACAAAUUUUGAAUUUCACACUAUUUAUUGUGUUGUUUACUCGGAGUUGUCUUUUGUCUCUAUCAAACUGGCUUUGCCGGCAAGUUCCUCAUAAAGCGAUCGUUCCAAAUGAUGGGUUGCGGGUUUCCCCUGCCUUGUACCUACAUUCUAAAUUGCCCUCAUGCUCUUUGCACAGUUAUAGAAGUGUGAGGCGCCGUCCACUCAAAAAUGUAAAUAGUUUUUGUUCAGAAUAUGCUUGCAUAUUAUCGCUGUUUUGGAGAAUGAAUUGCCCUGUGGUGUCAUUGUUUUGAUAUUGUUCUGUAAAAUCUUGAUAAAUUCUUGGAAUGUACAGACUGAAAUAAAAAAUUCAUCAACAGA
Molecule: RNA transcript, 4458 nt
Organism: Lineus longissimus
Lineage: Eukaryota; Metazoa; Nemertea; Pilidiophora; Heteronemertea; Lineidae
Gene name: DNA repair protein SWI5 homolog
Exons: 13
Source: RefSeq, a predicted model, not a curated record